Long non-coding RNA from Myotis davidii, 368 nucleotides. RefSeq lists it as uncharacterized. The transcript has 2 exons. Lineage: Eukaryota; Metazoa; Chordata; Mammalia; Chiroptera; Vespertilionidae. The record is from RefSeq and is a predicted model, not a curated record.
GUCAGAUAAACUGUCACAGAUCACAGUGCCUAUGUGCAAGGAGCUCUUAUUUUACUUAAUGGUGAGUGGCCUCAACGCGCAAGAGUGGCGAUGCCGGCAAUUGGGAUGUGCCAAAGAGAAGCUGUAUGUACUUCUUUUAACUGAAAACAUCAUCUCAAGAAUCCACAGGACCCGGCUGUAUUUUCUGAGAAACUGCUGGCCCCUGCUAGAUCUCAAUCAGAUGUUGUCGUGUCCUAUCUCACAUGCAUCUGAAGGAGGAGUGCUCGUAAGAUACGAGAUGGCGCCACGGCCGGCAACGUUACUCAUCUUGGGAGCGGGACAAUGUAGCUGGUUUCAUAAACUUUCCUUUCUUUUAGUGUUCAAUUCUC